Small nucleolar RNA from Chiloscyllium plagiosum (whitespotted bambooshark), 69 nucleotides. The record is from RefSeq and is a predicted model, not a curated record. NCBI's taxonomy places the organism in Eukaryota, Metazoa, Chordata, Chondrichthyes, Orectolobiformes, Hemiscylliidae.
CUGGCAAGUGAUGACACUUACUGCCCCAGUCUGACUUACCCAAUGACUGAUUAGUAUGUCUGAUUGCCA